Molecule: ribosomal RNA, 499 nt
Filed under: uncultured bacterium
Lineage: Bacteria
Description: bacterial SSU rRNA
Rfam family: Bacterial small subunit ribosomal RNA
Source: RNAcentral
AAGUGGAGCUAAUACCGAAUAAGACCACGCGACACAAGUUUCGUGGUAGAAGGUGGCUUGUAUUUAUACUGGCUAUCACUUGAGGAUGAGCCUUUGGCCUAUCAGCUUGUUGGCGAGGUAAAAGCUCACCAAGGCUAUGACGGGUAGCUGGUCUGAGAGGACGACCAGCCACACUGGGACUGAGACACGGCCCAGACUCCUACGGGAGGCAGCAGUGGGGAAUAUUGGGCAAUGGGCGAAAGCCUGACCCAGCGACGCCGCGUGGGUGAUGAAGGCCUUCGGGUUGUAAAGCCCUGUCAUGUGGGAAGAACGGCCUCAUGGUUAAUACCCAUGGGGAUUGACGGUACCACAGGAGGAAGCACCGGCUAACUCCGUGCCAGCAGCCGCGGUAAUACGGAGGGUGCUAGCGUUGUUCGGAAUUAUUGGGCGUAAAGGGCGCGUAGGCAGUUAUGUAAGUCAGAUGUGAAAUACUUCGGCUCAACCGAAGAACUGCAUUUGA